CAGUCGCCGCGGGAAAACGGAGGGGGCUAGCGUUGUUCGGAAUUACUGGGCGUAAAGCACACGUAGGCGGCUUGGUAAGUUAGAGGUGAAAGCCAGGAGCUCAACUCCAGAAUUGCCUUUAAGACUGCCGAGCUAGCAGGUGAGAGAGGUAAGUGGAAUUCCGAGUGUAGAGGUGAAAUUCGUAGAUAUUCGGAAGAACACCAGUGGCGAAGGCGGCUUACUGGCUCAUACUGGACGCUGAGGUGCGAAAGCGUGGGGAGCAAACAGGAUUAGAUACCCCAGUAGUCCCUGUCUCUUAUAC
RNAcentral lists this ribosomal RNA (301 nucleotides) under uncultured bacterium. RNAcentral's name for it is "partial 16S ribosomal RNA". It matches the Rfam family "Bacterial small subunit ribosomal RNA", at positions 509 to 807 of the family's 1533-position model. The record is from RNAcentral.